This 466-nucleotide ribosomal RNA is filed under the name Halamphora pertusa. RNAcentral describes it as "eukaryotic LSU rRNA". It matches the Rfam family "Eukaryotic large subunit ribosomal RNA", at positions 50 to 561 of the family's 3401-position model. Lineage: Eukaryota; Bacillariophyta; Bacillariophyceae; Naviculales; Amphipleuraceae. The record is from RNAcentral.
GCGGAGGAAAAGAAACUAACCAGGAUUGCCUCAGUAAGGGCGACUGAAGUGGCAAUAGCUCAUGAUGUGAAUCUGCGGCCGAAUUGUGGUCUCACUUGUGUUAAGGGCUAGGCCAAGUCCGUUGGAACACGGCAGCAAAGAGGGUGAGACUCCCGUUUGCCUGGCCCUUGGAACAAGUGUGUUUGAGUCGAGUUGUUUGGGAUUGCAGCUCUAAGUGGGUGGUAAAUUCCAUCGAAAGCUAAAUACUGGUGGGAGACCGAUAGCGUACAAGUACCGUGAGGGAAAGAUGCAAAGAAGCGCGAAAGCGCUGUUAAAGAGUACCUGAACUUGCUGAAACGGAAGCGAAGGAAACCAGUGCAAGCUGCGUCAUACUUCCCUGUCUGCUUGCGGUCGGGGCGCUGUGGCCAGUGUUGUCAGGAUUAGUUCAAGGAUGUGAAAAAGUGUGGGCAGAGUCGAUGCCCAUUGC